RNAcentral lists this ribosomal RNA (508 nucleotides) under uncultured bacterium. RNAcentral's name for it is "partial 16S ribosomal RNA". It matches the Rfam family "Bacterial small subunit ribosomal RNA", at positions 28 to 523 of the family's 1533-position model. The record is from RNAcentral.
GAUGAACGCUAGCUACAGGCUUAACACAUGCAAGUCGAGGGGAAACGAUAUUGGAAGCUUGCUUCCGAUAGGCGUCGACCGGCGCACGGGUGAGUAACGCGUAUCCAACCUGCCCAUCACUUGGGGAUAACCUUGCGAAAGUAAGACUAAUACCCAAUGACGUCUCUAGAAGACAUCUGAAAGAGAUUAAAGAUUUAUCGGUGAUGGAUGGGGAUGCGUCUGAUUAGCUUGUUGGCGGGGUAACGGCCCACCAAGGCGGCGAUCAGUAGGGGUUCUGAGAGGAAGGUCCCCCACAUUGGAACUGAGACACGGUCCAAACUCCUACGGGAGGCAGCAGUGAGGAAUAUUGGUCAAUGGGCGAGAGCCUGAACCAGCCAAGUAGCGUGCAGGAUGACGGCCCUAUGGGUUGUAAACUGCUUUUAUAAGGGAAUAAAGUGAGACUCGUGACUCUUUUUGCAUGUACCUUAUGAAUAAGGACCGGCUAAUUCCGUGCCAGCAGCCGCAGUAA